GCCAGAGUGUUUGCCAGUUUGGGGAACUCUAGCCAAGCCUUGUUUAUGCUGAGUCUAAUGAAGCCUUCCUGCAAACUGGACCUUUUCGGGCCGCCUUCUCCCAAAUGGGAUCAGCUGAGUCUUACACUGAGCGACGGAUUCCAAACAGGAGGUUUGGAUCCAGCCACCUUUGAGCACGCUGAGAUCACUCUCUGAGUAAGGAAGUCAUCUUCACCACGACCCGUUCAAGUACCACAGGAAAACUGAGUUGCAACCAGCGGCUGCAUCAUUCCACUCCGUCUGAGUUCUGGGUAAACCCUGUUCCGUCUUUCAGUUUUCCGGCCGAACAGAGUUCGGAGGAACUCUGCACCGAACUCUAAAUACCUUUCAAUAAAAGCCGUUCAAACUUU
Molecule: long non-coding RNA, 389 nt
Organism: Cyprinodon tularosa
Lineage: Eukaryota; Metazoa; Chordata; Actinopteri; Cyprinodontiformes; Cyprinodontidae
Exons: 2
Source: RefSeq, a predicted model, not a curated record